AUGGCGACGGACGGGGAGUGCUCCACGCCGGGGAAGGGGGCGACGGUCCGGAGCCACAGCGAGGCGGAGCGCAAGCGGAGGCAGCGCAUCAACGCCCAUCUCGCCACGCUCCGCACGCUCGUCCCCUCGGCCUCCCGGAUGGACAAGGCGGCGUUGCUGGGCGAGGUGGUGCGGCACGUGCGGGAGCUGCAGGGCAGGGCCAACGACGCGACGGAGGGCGUGGUGGACGUCGUUCCCGGGGAGACAGACGAGGUGGGCGUCGAGGAGGGCGACUACAUCAAUGGCGGAUCAACGGACGACGACCCCCGGUGGCGGCGUCGCGUCCGGGCGUGGGUGUGCUGCGCCGACCGCCCGGGGCUCAUGUCGGACCUGGGCCGCGCCGUCCGCUCCGUCGGCAGCGCGCGCCCCGUGCGCGCCGAGAUCGCCACCGUCGGCGGGAGGACCCGGAGCGUCCUGGAGCUGGACCACGUCUACCUCCAAGCCGAACCAGCCAACGACAGGGCGGUGGCGCUCUCCACCCUGCGCGCCGCGCUCCGCACCGUGCUGCUCAACCGGGAGGAGCUCCUCGCCGCCGCGGCCGCCGUGGACGGGUACAAGCGGCCGCGCCUCUCGCCGGUGCACCAGCUCAGCUAG
This 633-nucleotide ribosomal RNA is filed under the name Triticum aestivum (bread wheat). RNAcentral's name for it is "partial small subunit ribosomal RNA". Lineage: Eukaryota; Viridiplantae; Streptophyta; Magnoliopsida; Poales; Poaceae. The record is from RNAcentral.